Molecule: signal recognition particle RNA, 97 nt
Filed under: Deltaproteobacteria bacterium
Lineage: Bacteria; Pseudomonadati; Myxococcota; Myxococcia
Also listed under: 1 other name
Description: signal recognition particle sRNA small type
Rfam family: Bacterial small signal recognition particle RNA
About the family: The signal recognition particle (SRP) is a universally conserved ribonucleoprotein involved in the co-translational targeting of proteins to membranes. Archaeal SRP consists of a 7S RNA and homologues of the eukaryotic SRP19 and SRP54 proteins. In most bacteria, the SRP consists of a 4.5S RNA and the Ffh protein (a homologue of the eukaryotic SRP54 protein).
Source: RNAcentral
GGCCGGGUCCCGCACAACGGAGCGCCGCUAAUCCCGCCAGGUCCGAAAGGAAGCAACGGUACCGGAUGCGAUGUGUGAUGUGGGGUGCCCGGUCACC